UACGUAGGCAGCAAGCGUUGUUCGGAAUUACUGGGCGUAAAGAGUGUGUAGGCGGUGCUCUAAGUUCGGUGUGAAAUCUCCCGGCUUAACUGGGAGGGUGCGCCGAAAACUGGAAUGCUCGAGCGUGGGAGAGGAAAGCGGAAUCCUGGUGUAGCGGUGAAAUGCGUAGAUAUCAGGAGGAACACCAGCGGUGUAGACGGCUUUCUGGACCAUUGCUGACGCUGAGACACGAAAGCGUGGGUAGCAAACAGG
This 252-nucleotide ribosomal RNA is filed under the name uncultured bacterium. RNAcentral's name for it is "partial 16S ribosomal RNA". It matches the Rfam family "Bacterial small subunit ribosomal RNA", at positions 524 to 776 of the family's 1533-position model. The record is from RNAcentral.